Molecule: RNA transcript, 1797 nt
Organism: Malania oleifera
Lineage: Eukaryota; Viridiplantae; Streptophyta; Magnoliopsida; Santalales; Ximeniaceae
Exons: 8
Source: RefSeq, a predicted model, not a curated record
UCAAGCGACUCGGUCGCAGAGUGAAAAGGGGAUGGCUCAGGCGUCGCGUCCUCUCCGGCAGUGGCUAGGAUGGCAUCAGCAGUGCUGCUCCCGCGCAACAUUCAACCAUUUCCUCAGCCCCUACUUCACCGCAUUUCUCCCCUCUCGCCGGGACCUCCAUCGCCGACCCGGUGGACUCAGACUGCGCGAUGCUCCUCCGCCGUCCGAUCCCCAAGACGGCCUCGGUGACUCGGAUCUCGACGUCAAGCGAAGCCGGAACGAGAAGAAGCGAGAGGCUCGCCGCGCCGUCCGUUGGGGCAAAGAGCUCGCCGCCUUCCCUGCCCCUCAGAUCAAACGAAUCCUCAGAGUGGCGUCUCUUGAGCGAGAGGUGUUCGAUGCUCUUAUGCUGGCAAAGAGAUUGGGACCUGAUGUACGAGAAGGAAAGCGAAGGCAGUUUAAUUAUAUAGGAAAACUGCUAAGGAAAGCAGAACCUGAACUGAUGGAUGCUUUAAUCCAGGCCUCAAAGGAUGGGGACCAAAGUCAGUUUCAGGAUAUUUCUGAUUCAGGGGCAAGGAUUGCUGGGAACAAUGAUGAAGAAGCUGAAGAAACUAAAUAUGAGGAGGGACCUUAUGACUACAUUGAUAGAGCAACCAGAUGGUUUGAAGGACUGAUCAGUAAGGAUAUUGACAUUACCAAUGAAGUUUAUUCAGUUCAUAGUGUUGAGUUUGAUCGUCAGGAGUUGCGUAAACUUGUUCGGAAGGUGCACUCCCUAAAAGCACAACUGGUAGUUCAAGAAAAUGAGGGAGAAAUAGAGGCAUCAUUAAUGAGCGCGAAAAGGUCCCUUACCCGUUUUCUUCAUGCUCUUGCAAAGCAGAUGCCAACUGAAUAGAAAUCUGACUCAUUCGUUAUGCAAGCAUUUCGUGUCUAUGAUAUUGGAUGCUGAUAUUUAGUCUACCAAUCACAAUGUUUCCAUGCGCACCUGCUGAUGUGAUUUAAAAAGUGGAAGCUUGCGCAUCAUGGUUGCUUAAAAAAUUAUUAUCACUUUCCUAAUUGGAAUAAUACAAGAGGGAAAGGUGCUCCAUCUUGCUGGUGCAUCUAAUCAGCCGAUGACUCUGGCAACUGACAAAAGCCACCAGUAUACAUAGAAGGCGCAUGGGUACUUGAAAUUUGAACAGUUGGGAAGUUGAAACUACCGAAUAACUGCCACUCAGGAGGCCGACGAGUCAACGCAUUAGGAAGAAAUGCAUGAUGGUCAAGUUGAAAUUGUGGAGGACUUUUCUGAGGGGAAAAAACGCGUUUAGAAAGCUAUAAAUAUAAUUCCCCCAAACAGGGCCUUUACAGGAUCGCCAUCGCGGGAGGUAGGCAGCCGGCCACCAAAUUUUGACUUCCUCCCGCAUUUCGACUUCCUCACUGUUAAAGUGUUAAACCUACUUAUAACAUACUGUUGGAGGAAGGUAGGGAAAAAUCAACCAUCUAGUUUUUUAUUUUUAAUAUUCUUUCUUAUUCUAUGAAUUAGGAUAGGGAGCGUGCCAUGCAUGUGCAAGAGUAAUCAUCAUGCGCAGAAUCAGGGGCACGUGUUACGGCAGCUAUCUAGCCCAGGGCACAUGAUUGUUGUGUGAAGGUGAGAAACGUGUUGAGAACAAGUUUAAAGUUCGUAAUAGUAGGGAUGAAAUUGUAAUGAUAUUUGCAUAGUAAUUAUUUAAUAUGUGAUAAGAGAGGCCAAUUGGAAUAUCUAGAAGCUAUUUUUUUUUUUAAACUAUUUUAUAUUUGUAUAGACUCGCGAACUCAAUGCAAAUACAACAAUAAAUUAAACACAAA